AUUGUUUUGGCAGAUUAGUGCAGUAAAUUUAGAAUUUACGAAAGUAGUAGAAUUACAAAUAAUA
Molecule: transfer RNA, 64 nt
Filed under: Trigonopterus sp. 3 AH-2016
Lineage: Eukaryota; Metazoa; Arthropoda; Insecta; Coleoptera; Curculionidae
Description: tRNA-Leu
Source: RNAcentral